UGAGGAAUAUUGGUCAAUGGGCGGGAGCCUGAACCAGCCAAGUCGCGUGAGGGAAGACGGUCCUAUGGAUUGUAAACCUCUUUUGUCGGGGAGCAAAGAGGCCACGUGUGGUCAAAAGCGAGAGUACCCGAAGAAAAAGCAUCGGCUAACUCCGUGCCAGU
RNAcentral lists this ribosomal RNA (161 nucleotides) under uncultured bacterium. RNAcentral's name for it is "partial 16S ribosomal RNA". It matches the Rfam family "Bacterial small subunit ribosomal RNA", at positions 355 to 512 of the family's 1533-position model. The record is from RNAcentral.